UCGAAGCAAAGGGAAGACGGCUUUAGUUCUCUGCCUUUAGUUCUGAAGCUGGAAAUGAAUUGUGUAGCAGGACCUUUGUUAUAGACUGUUUGUGAUCUUUUUUUUGUUGUGGAGGACUGCGUUAUCGAUGGGUUGUGAUCCAUAUUCUAUGUGGAAAACUUCAGUUUGGGCAAGUAGUUCGUCGUGUAACUUGAGUGACACUUUCUGGAUAUUAAUUGCCGAGUUGGAUUGUGGACUAUCUCCUGCAGAAUCUGGAAUAACGGCCCAGUCUAAUCUCCUAGGACUAGGGACUUCGUUGGUAACUAUUUUUUUCUUCCUUAAUUAAGAGGAGGAGGGAAACUGAAGACUUGAUAACAGCACGGGCUCAUGGUUUGAAACUUUAGAAGAGCGAACCUCGUGGUACCUUUAGAAACAGUAGAACGGAACUGCGUGCGCUCUUGGUCUGAAUAGAAACAAAAAAAAAAAGUACCACUGAAUGAAGCAUUUUUUCGAGACAUUAGCCAAUACCUUUGAAAGAAGACUCUCUCUGAAUAGCAGCGAAACCUACUUUGUGUAAUUUUGUAAUUGGUGAAAUCGGCUUCUAUAUCCUAAAAUGGUUUCUAAGACAAUGACUUGACUGUUGAAUAAAUUUGACAAAAACAGUAUUAUCUAUGGUUUUACUUUGAGCUUUUACCAAAGUUAAUAUUUUCCCACUUCUAUCCAUCUUGUUGAAUUACCUUAUACGGAGAUGAAAGUUAACUAGGGAGUAUAAAGGCGCUAUGCUAGUUUCAAUGGUUUGGUUACUAAACUAAAUUUCUUGGGUAACAGUAUUUUGCUAAUAGUUAAUAUGAAAUGGCAUAGUGCUAAUGUAUUUAGUUUGAGUAACUCCCAACAAAAAUUUAACACCGUAAGCACUAAUGACAAGUCAGCAUAUGCUAAUGGUAUCGUAGGACAUAAGAUAUACACGAAAGGAAUUAAUAUCGGUAAGGCUAAAGUAACCAGUAUUCUAACUACAUUAGAAUUAAACUAUGUAAAUGCUAAUUAGUCAGGUUUAGUAUAACUAAAUUAGAACGAAAAUUAACAUAAUUGCUGCUAAUUAAAAGUAAGGUUAAGGAUCAUUGGACCGCGUUAGGCCUAGCCCUUUGAUAACUGGUUAGAUUAUCAAAGGGGAAUUAACUCUUCCGUCAGCUGUGACAGAAUUGCCUCCUGGGCGACACGCCCGAACUGUAAAGCAGCAGCUUGGUAAAAUAUAUUGGAAACUAGGGAAUUUAGUUUUGAUUUUUUUCAACUUGACAGGUUUUAUAGAUAUAACUUUCUUAAUUUUAGCUUAAUAUUAAAAAAAUAAGAUGGGAUUUUGGCGCUUAAAGUUCUACCUCAGGUUUUAGUGACUGGAAAGGUUGACCCAUGCUUUGGAAGAAGUAAAAUCCACACACUGAAAAUAUCGUUGCCAGUAGACUUUCCUAAUAAUGUUCUACACCCAAACAAAUGGGAAUAAAAAUCUGAUAUGUUUGGGUGGAAGUCUUGCGCGUGAACUAUUUAUCAGCCAGUGAAGAAUUGGGUUCGAGCAAAUGUCAAGUUAGCAUUAAUUUUUAUGUAUUAAAUCUUCUCUUCAUAAUGUGAAGGUUAAUCCUGCAUGUAUAACAUAACUUGCCUAUCUUAAUUUCUCGUGUUUGAAUUUCAUGCAAGUUUCACAACAUUGAGGUCUUGGAUAUUUUGUUUAUACUCUGAUGAACAUUCCUAGGUAGGUGUUUACCAGCCACCUAAAGCGUUGAAGGGUCGUUAACCGUUGCUGAGAGAGAGAGAGAGGAUAUUAUUGAAACCUUCAACUUUUCUUACAAUUCAAUACAUAGCACAGAGAGAGAAAUUACAUAGCACACACACACAUACACACACA
Molecule: long non-coding RNA, 1873 nt
Organism: Macrobrachium nipponense
Lineage: Eukaryota; Metazoa; Arthropoda; Malacostraca; Decapoda; Palaemonidae
Exons: 3
Source: RefSeq, a predicted model, not a curated record